This 1601-nucleotide unclassified non-coding RNA is filed under the name Hevea brasiliensis (rubber tree). The record is from RNAcentral. Lineage: Eukaryota; Viridiplantae; Streptophyta; Magnoliopsida; Malpighiales; Euphorbiaceae.
AAAAAAGGUGUCUUUUGUUUUACUUUUGGAGUUAUUAAGAUAUGGCAAUGACCAAAACCUUAUCUAUGAUCUCAAGAACAGGAAGAGACUUGCAGAGAUACAAUGAUGGAUGUCGUCAAGUUGUUGGAUGCAUUCCGUACAGAUAUAGAAAAACCAAUCAAUCAUCUACAGUUCAAGGGACCCAAAUUGAUGAUUUGGAAUUCUUAUUGAUCAGCUCACAGAAGAGUCCAAAGUGGAUGUUCCCUAAGGGUGGUUGGGAAACUGAUGAGGCAUUAGAAGAUGCUGCUUUAAGAGAGACUUUUGAGGAAUCUGGUGUAGUUGGUGAUGUUGGGGUUCAGGAGUAUUUAGGUACUUGGAGUUUUAAGAGCAAAAGUCAAGGGACAUUUCAUGAGGGGCAUAUGUUUCCUUUACUUGUCACAGAAGAACUAGAAGAUUGGCCUGAGAAAACUGUCCGAAAACGUCUAUGGUUGAAAUUUAGUGAAGCAAGAGAAGUAUGUUGGCAUUCCUGGAUGAAGGAAGCUUUAGAUGUCUUUGCCUCUAAGCUCACAAAGAGAAAUAAAGACGAUGAGCCUCAGACAUGCCCUUUCGAUGAAUUGUGCUAUGAACAGACAGUUGCUACUGUAUCUAACUCUAACACAAUGUUUUAUGAAGAACCAAUAAUCAGCAUUGAAGCUAAUGACUUGACCUGUGAGGAGGAGCUGAGACUUAGCCUUGUAGCUAAGCCUUCUCUAGGUAAGCUCAUGUUCAAUGAAGAUGCAAGGCGAAAGCCGUUUUCCAAUGAAAUUAGUAAUGUAGCCUACUCAAUGUUCAGUGAAGAAGCAACCAUGAGCACCAAAGCCCAGAAGAUGUUCAAUGAAAAAUUGGGAAGAAUAAGCAUUGCUGCUUUCAGCUAGCAAACAAAUGAUGGAAGAAACUUCAAGACUUCUAAAAACCGAGAAUGAGGAACCAGGUUCGCCUAUCCUGUAGAAUUCUCGACGAGCUGGAAGCCAAGAAUGAGCAUAAUGUAAUGGAGAAAGAAAGAAAGAACCUUGGAACGCCGUCGACAGAAAUUUUGAUGACUAUAAAUAUGCUGGACUUGGCAUUGUUACCUACAAUCUGCAAAGAAAGGACAAUAAUCUAUCGAUGCAGUUACAGGCAGCAGUAUUAUGGACCAGAGAAAAGAACCUUUCAAAUCCCUGCCUGAUACGAUUCUGUAUAUUGUCCCUUUAACCCGAGAAGAAGUUUGAGUUAACCUUGCUUUAGAUGAUUCAAAGAGAAACUAAUCCAGUUUCUCAAAGGCAUAACACAUACAUAGACACUCAAGUUUGGCCUCGAUUGGCAAGUAGACAAUCCAAUUUUGGGAGUGGACACACGAUGAUGCUGACUUGACACAUAAAUUUUGGAUGCGUCCAGAUGAUUAUUUCUUUAAGCUGAGUGUUCAACUGACACAAUGGAGACGAGUUGAAAUUAGUAGAUGUGCAUCGUCCUUGGAGCGUUUUGUCAGUUGAGACCAAGUUUGAGUGUCUAUCUUUAUAUUAUAUACCUUUCUCAAACACCAGAUAUGGUUAAUCGCAUAAGUUUCUAACAUCAUUCUUUAAUUCUUUUUUGUUGUUACAAGGUGU